Molecule: ribosomal RNA, 253 nt
Filed under: uncultured bacterium
Lineage: Bacteria
Description: partial 16S ribosomal RNA
Rfam family: Bacterial small subunit ribosomal RNA
Source: RNAcentral
UACGGAGGGGGCGAGCGUUAUUCGGAAUUAUUGGGCGUAAAGGGCGCGUAGGCGGCUCCGCAAGUCAAAGGUGAAAUCCCUCGGCUCAACUGAGGAACUGCCUUUGAAACUGUGGAGCUUGAGUCCGGGAGGGGGUAGCGGAAUUCCCAGUGUAGCGGUGAAAUGCGUAGAUAUUGGGAGGAACACCAGUGGCGAAGGCGGCUACCUGGACCGGAACUGACGCUGAUGCGCGAAAGCGUGGGUAGCAAACAGG